CGUAGGGUGCAGGCGUUAAUCGGAAUUACUGGGCGUAAAGCGUGCGCAGGCGGUUUCUUAAGUCAGAUGUGAAAGCCCCGGGCUUAACCUGGGAACUGCGUUUGAAACUGGGAGACUUGAGUGUGGCAGAGGGGGGUGGAAUUCCACGUGUAGCAGUGAAAUGCGUAGAUAUGUGGAGGAACACCGAUGGCGAAGGCAGCCCCCUGGGUUAACACUGACGCUCAUGCACGAAAGCGUGGGGAGCAAACAGGAUUAGAUACCCUGGUAGUCCACGCCCUAAACUAUGUCAACUGGUUGUCGGGGGAUUGACUCCCUUGGUAACGAAGCUAACGCGUGAAGUUGACCGCCUGGGGAGUACGGCCGCAAGGUUA
Molecule: ribosomal RNA, 371 nt
Filed under: uncultured organism
Description: bacterial SSU rRNA
Rfam family: Bacterial small subunit ribosomal RNA
Source: RNAcentral